GCAUCUCUAGCACGCGGGCGCGACACUCGCUUGAGGUCCUUUCGCAUUUGAAAAGCAUUAAAAAUCAUAACCCGCAAGCCCAGAGGCUGGAACAACCCCUUUACUUUCUCUGGCAACGCGUUAACGUCAUUAACUUUCAGCAAGCGGGGAAAGCGGGUUCUUACUUAACUCGCAUCUUCUGAAACGUCGUAAAGAUCAGCAGCGGUGAGGCCUUGUCUCUCUUUGGCAGGCGUGAAAUCACAAAGCACCGCAGCCCCGCCCAGCGACGAGGCCCUGCUGUCGCGCGGAGCCCGGCGGGGUGGCCUCUGCUCCGAGGCCUGUGGCGCCUGCGCACUGGCGAUCGGAUGCAACCCACCCAGACCCUCCGGCAGGAGUGUUGGCGGCCCCUUCACCGACCGAAUCUACCCGCGUGUGUUCCGCCGCCCGCUGGGGGCGCCUCGGCGCCAGUCGGCUCCCUGUGCGCCGCCCUGUACCCAUCUUUGCGUCACACUUCGGGGCACGCGUGCCACGGAUCCGCCACUAGAUUAUAUGCCCUGGAUUAUUCUUCCCGGUUCUGCGUCGCGGGGCAGGUACCCGGUCAGUCGGUUGCCACGUGUUUACGGAGUACCCGGGUUCCAGGCAUUGUGCUGGGCGCCGGCAGCAUGGGUGAGGUCCCGACACUCUAGUAGGAGAGAGAGACAAUGAAAGGAAUCAUAGAUCUAACGUGGAGUCUGAUACGCAGUGCUCAAAAGUGUGCAGUGAACCAACGAAUGGGGGAGAAAAAAAAGAGUGCAUAGGCCAGACUGAGAAGACACACUUCUGGGAGCAUACGUGAGUCUCUGGGACUUUGUGACAACGCGUGAUGUGUCGCUUCUUAAUCGCGCGGAUUUGAGGACCGUAUUGGGUAUCCUGUAACACCUUCUUACGGUGUGUUUUUUACGUGUCUGUGCUUUUAAGGAAAGAACACCUGUGUCGGUAUGAUCCUGGCUAAGUCUAAUUACUAGUUUUGUUAAAGAGGAUAAAUAACCCUUGGUUUUUUUUAGA
Molecule: long non-coding RNA, 1023 nt
Organism: Felis catus (domestic cat)
Lineage: Eukaryota; Metazoa; Chordata; Mammalia; Carnivora; Felidae
Exons: 2
Source: RefSeq, a predicted model, not a curated record